CCUACGGGUAGCAGCAGUGGGGAAUAUUGGACAAUGGGCGAAAGCCUGAUCCAGCCAUGCCGCGUGUGUGAAGAAGGCCUUCGGGUUGUAAAGCACUUUCAGUGGGGAAGAAAGCCUUGGGGCUAAUACCCUCGAGGAAGGACAUCACCCACAGAAGAAGCACCGGCUAACUCCGUGCCAGCAGCCGCGGUAAUACGGAGGGUGCGAGCGUUAAUCGGAAUUACUGGGCGUAAAGCGCGCGUAGGCGGUCUGAUAAGCCGGUUGUGAAAGCCCCGGGCUCAACCUGGGAACGGCAUCCGGAACUGUCAGGCUAGAGUGCAGGAGAGGAAGGUAGAAUUCCCGGUGUAGCGGUGAAAUGUGUAGAGAUCGGGAGGAAUACCAGUGGCGAAGGCGGCCUUCUGGACUGACACUGACGCUGAGGUGCGAAAGCGUGGGUAGCAAACAGGAUUAGAUACCCCUGUAGUC
RNAcentral lists this ribosomal RNA (465 nucleotides) under Vreelandella stevensii. RNAcentral describes it as "partial 16S ribosomal RNA". It matches the Rfam family "Bacterial small subunit ribosomal RNA", at positions 338 to 795 of the family's 1533-position model. Lineage: Bacteria; Pseudomonadati; Pseudomonadota; Gammaproteobacteria; Oceanospirillales; Halomonadaceae. The record is from RNAcentral.